UCGAGGAUCUUCGGCAAUGGGCGCAAGCCUGACCGAGCGACGCCGCGUGAGCGAUGAAGGCCUUCGGGUUGUAAAGCUCUUUAGUGGGGGAGAAAAGCCCGCAAGGGUGUGAUCUAUCCCAAAAAUAAGCACGGGCUAAGUUCGUGCCAGCAGCCGCGGUAAGACGAACCGUGCGAACGUUGUUCGGAAUCACUGGGCUUAAAGGGCGCGUAGGCGGGCUGUCAAGUCUGGGGUGAAAUGCCACGGCUCAACCGUGGAACUGCCUCAGAUACUGACGGCCUCGAGGGAGGUAGGGGCAUGCGGAACUGUAGGUGGAGCGGUGAAAUGCGUUGAUAUCUACAGGAACUCCGGUGGCGAAAGCGGCGUGCUGGACCUCUUCUGACGCUGAGGCGCGAAAGCUAGGGGAGCAAACG
This 413-nucleotide ribosomal RNA is filed under the name uncultured Gemmata sp. RNAcentral describes it as "bacterial SSU rRNA". It matches the Rfam family "Bacterial small subunit ribosomal RNA", at positions 355 to 774 of the family's 1533-position model. Lineage: Bacteria; Pseudomonadati; Planctomycetota; Planctomycetia; Gemmatales; Gemmataceae. The record is from RNAcentral.